UCUUAACACCUUAGGUAGUUUAACAAAACCAAUAUAUAAUGGCGGUCUUCAUAAACUAGAGAAACUCGCUCUAUAAUCGUAAAUACCCGAUAAUUUUCACUAAACUUAAAAGCCUAUAUACCGCCGUUUAGACUUUUUAUCCUUAUAAUUCCCUUCCCUAUAAAGACAUAAAUCAGGUCAAGGUGUAGCUUAUAGCCUAGAAAGAGUAAGUUACAAUAAAUUAAAUUUAAGAAUAUAAAAUAAACACUAAAUUGAAAGAGAAUUUAUAUGUACAUAAAAUUUAAAAUCUUAUAUCGAACCAAAUAAUGAACGAUGC
This 316-nucleotide ribosomal RNA is filed under the name Pholcus jiuwei. RNAcentral describes it as "partial 12S ribosomal RNA". Lineage: Eukaryota; Metazoa; Arthropoda; Arachnida; Araneae; Pholcidae. The record is from RNAcentral.